Molecule: long non-coding RNA, 1259 nt
Organism: Homo sapiens (human)
Lineage: Eukaryota; Metazoa; Chordata; Mammalia; Primates; Hominidae
Exons: 3
Source: RefSeq, a predicted model, not a curated record
GAAACGCACCGUGGUUCCCCGUCGGGUCAGGAGAUCCCGAGCCCCAGGCUGGCGUGGGCGAAGCGUACAAUCCCUUCACCUUUCGUCACCCAGAGGCACAAGAAUCCAGUUCGCGCCAACUGACCUGUUUCUUCCUUCCUCCCCGGCACUCUGGGAGUCCUGAGAUUGCCUUGCUCGGUUCGUCUCAGACUUGCUAGAUCUGAGCAGCUGCUGCUCCUCCACCAAGGGUGCUCACAUUCUCCAGGAAACUCCCUUAAGGGUUAGCAACCGCCGAGUAGGUUUCGGUCCCAAGAUAGAAAGGCUACAAGUGCAAAAAGCUGAAUGAAAAAUGGAAAGGUUACUGCUGAAAUAUUUACAGAUGGAAGGAUAUGAUGUCUAGAAUUUGUUUCAAACAAGACGAGGUCUUACUACCAUAGCCCAGGCUGGGCUCAACUGAUCCUCCUGCCUCAGCCUCCCAAAGUGCUGGGAUUACAGGUGUGAGCCACCACGCCCGCCAUCAAGCAUUUACUUAUUGAAACACAUAUCUUUUUAUAAUGCAUUAUUUUCUUAUUUAUCCUUUAUACUUAUAGCAUUAUAUUGAUUUUUAAAGUGUGUGCACUCACCUAUGCAGCACUCAAAAGGUUCUCUAAAAUGAUGGUUGACAUCUUUCUUCAACUCUGGUGUUUUCCUAUGUAACUUUUUCUAAGUGUAAUAUGUACUCAACAACUAAAAUAGGAUGUAUGAUAUGUACAUGCCUGCAUGGGCAUACAAAGACACACAUACACAUAUAUAAAAUAAAGAAAACACUAAAAUAUCAGCAAGCUUGACUCCCAACUUAAAAUUAUGUGUGCAGGAAGGUAUAUCAUAAGAUAAGAUCUAUUGAUGUCAGGAUGGUAAAGACAGUGUUAUGAAACGUUUGUUACAAUAUCAGGGUUUGGAUGUUAGGAUUGAGAACCUCAGGGUUAGAUAAUUCCAGAAGCCACUCCUGGAGCUGUGGGUAGGGAUAAUCCCACCCAAACUGCCUGGCUGUUUUCUGGAUGGAAGGGGUGGGGUGGUGCUGGGGAGGAAACCACAAUGUUGGCAGCCAGGAGGAAACAAACUUCACUUUCCAAGUUUACUGUACUUCUAUAUUGUUUGUGUUAUUUGACUAUUUUACAAUGACUGUUCAUUCCUUUUGUAACAAGCAAGACCAGUAAAGCUUUUUUUAUUUUAAAAUCUCCUAUAAAAUAUAGAAAACAGAUAAACAAAAUAAUAAAAAUCACCUGUAAUCCUAUUCUGCA